Solea solea (common sole) is the source of this 932-nucleotide long non-coding RNA. RefSeq lists it as uncharacterized. The transcript has 4 exons. NCBI's taxonomy places the organism in Eukaryota, Metazoa, Chordata, Actinopteri, Pleuronectiformes, Soleidae. The record is from RefSeq and is a predicted model, not a curated record.
GACAGGGGAGAGGACUGAAAAAGUCAUUUAAAUUAAUGUCUGUCUUCAUUUUAGUGUUAUUGUUUGGUCAGGACUCUUUUAGAAACCUAAAUGUGGAGUAGAGUUUUGUCUGUUGGGUGAACUACUCAACACAAGACGAUAGACUGUUGUUGAAGUUAAGCUAGCUGCUAAAACCUGGUGGCUAGUAGUGCAUGUGCAUGGACUUUGCUAACAAGUUAGCGACCAGAGAACCCAACUAGUGAAGACUGUGUGAAGCGGUGGGACUGACAACAGACACAAAGACCCAGCCGGAGUUGGAUAACAUUGCCAAGGGGUGGAAAUUGUCAACUGAGUGAAUCUUCUCUGCACCUGUGUGGAUAUCCUCGUCGUCUUUGUCUCUGUCUUAUUUCAGUUUGGACCAUAGCACAGAUGGAUCUGCCACUUUCAGACUGGUCUACAUCCUACGAAGCAUGCGGAGAUGUCCAAUGCUUUGCUACACUUGCCAAACUUCAAGAGGCCUCCUGCUACACUUAGAAUGGACACAAAGUACAAGAAAAGAGAGCAUCUUCCCUAACAGCUGUCCCAUCAUAUGUGAAGAAAGAGGACGAUCCGUUUGGUGGAUGACAAACCACUUAAACACAUCUAGAUGGCAUCUGUCAGGAAAUCCUGCAAACAUCAAGGUCCGUCUAUGGCACAGAACGGCACUGGAGGCAAGCUGGCUCUUUCUAUUUCCUGCACUCAGUGUCCUCAGCGCCAUAUGAGACUGAGAGUUGUUUUUCUGAACAUCUUGGCUCAGUAGACACCCUUUAUUUGACAAAGCAGGCAAAAAGGGAGGGGGGGGGGGGGAAAUGACAUUGCUGCUUAACUCACCAUUUUUACACUUGAUGAAAUAAAUACCUGUGCAAUAAUGGAGCAAUAAUUGCUGUAUUUCAAAAAUACCUGCACCUACAAGG